CGACAGAACGACGAUUUAGUAGAAGGAUUACGUGUAUACAAAAACGAUGAGGAAACAGACCAUUACUCUGUGCUUAGUGGCAGCCAUACUUAGUGUAACCCUGGCAAAAGACGAAACGGAGCAGAAGCAAAGGAGACAGUUUGCUUUUUUGCUUGAAUCCUUGCUCGGAGGGCUUUUGCAGGAACUGCAGCUGAAACUGCAAUAGGAGCAAGUUUGGGCGCUGGUCUUGCUGCAGGAACUGCAGCUGAAACAAUAGGAGCUGGUCUGGGCGUAGCCGCUGGGACUGGUCUUGCAGCAGCAGGUAUCGAGUCAGCCAUACACCAUCACCCUCACACGGCAGUAAAACCAACACUUGCAGGUAGGAUGCCAUUCAUAGCGAUAGAAAAUUAUUUGCGUCGUUUUAGAGUAAAAAGUUACGACUGCUCAUUGAAUCCUUAGAUAUUCAAGAAAAACAUAUUCACAAGUAACCAAUUAUACCUGUAUAAUGUAUAAACCAUAGCAAAUAAUCACAAUUCAAUAAAAUAUCAGUAUUAUUAAAUAUCACGUUACAGUGGUCAAGCCUAUUGACCAUACUGGUACUCUGACUGGUGUCCAGACGGUAGUUGUAGCGGCUCCACCGCUGAAUUUAACUCUGUGUGAAAGUACAGGCUACUGCACUUCCGGUAAAUGCGACCUAGGAAAUCACCUAUUUCUUGGGAACGUGUUAUGCGUCGGGAGCCGAAAAUGCUGCAUACCAAAUGGUACUUGUGGUGUUGAGGCAAGGAUUGGACAACUCGAAGUUACAGGUCCCGGGAAGUGUCGACUUCCUGUUACCGACCACGUGUGUCAUGAUGACGAGAAAGUGACCACUGACCUGACCUGUAAUUCUGGAUACACCUGCUGUGUAGAUAAAAACUGUAAGUGUAAUGGCUUAAUGAACUUUUUAGUCUUUAUUGAUGAGAGUGUCCGGGUCAAAAAUGAUUACCAAAUUUACUAGAAAUUCACAUAGUUGUGAUAUAUUCCAUCCAUUUAAUUAGGUGUUCAUAAUAGAAUGUUUCUUUCGUUUUCCUUUCCAUUGUAUCAUGUACUUAUUAUAUUGUCUACGUUGAUUUGAUCGUCAUGUGGCACACUAAAGUGAAUCGACUUGUCUAGGCGAUUGCCUCAUACACAUUUGACAAGUGUAAAUAUGCUAUACUUGUCAUUUAUCUGAUGAAGGUGACAGUAC
Mizuhopecten yessoensis (Yesso scallop) is the source of this 1204-nucleotide long non-coding RNA. RefSeq lists it as uncharacterized. The transcript is spliced from 3 exons. The record is from RefSeq and is a predicted model, not a curated record. NCBI's taxonomy places the organism in Eukaryota, Metazoa, Mollusca, Bivalvia, Pectinida, Pectinidae.